RNAcentral lists this unclassified non-coding RNA (353 nucleotides) under soil metagenome. Its description in RNAcentral is "partial contains 5.8S ribosomal RNA, internal transcribed spacer 2, and large subunit ribosomal RNA". The stretch from base 1 to 120 matches the Rfam family "5.8S ribosomal RNA", at positions 35 to 154 of the family's 154-position model. The record is from RNAcentral.
GAUGAAGAACGUAGCGAAAUGCGAUAAGUAAUGUGAAUUGCAGAAUUCAGUGAAUCAUCGAAUCUUUGAACGCACAUUGCGCCCGCCAGUAUUCUGGCGGGCAUGCCUGUUCGAGCGUCAUUACAACCCUCAGGCCCCCGGGCCUGGCGUUGGGGAUCGGCGAGGCGCCCCCCACGGGCACGCGCCGUCCCCCAAAUACAGUGGCGGUCCCGCCGCAGCUUCCAUUGCGUAGUAGCUAACACCUCGCAACUGGAGAGCGGCGCGGCCAUGCCGUAAAACACCCAACUUCUGAAUGUUGACCUCGAAUCAGGUAGGAAUACCCGCUGAACUUAAGCAUAUCAAUAAGCGGAGGA